RNAcentral lists this ribosomal RNA (853 nucleotides) under Comoclathris sedi. RNAcentral describes it as "eukaryotic LSU rRNA". It matches the Rfam family "Eukaryotic large subunit ribosomal RNA", at positions 68 to 935 of the family's 3401-position model. Lineage: Eukaryota; Fungi; Ascomycota; Dothideomycetes; Pleosporales; Pleosporaceae. The record is from RNAcentral.
ACAGGGAUUGCCUCAGUAACGGCGAGUGAAGCGGCAUCAGCUCAAAUUUGAAAUCUGGCUCUUUUAGAGUCCGAGUUGUAAUUUGCAGAGGGCGCUUUGGCAUAGGCAGCGAUUCAAGUUCCUUGGAACAGGACGUCACAGAGGGUGAGAAUCCCGUACGUGGUCGCUAGCUCUUGCCGUGUAAAGCCCCUUCGACGAGUCGAGUUGUUUGGGAAUGCAGCUCUAAAUGGGAGGUAAAUUUCUUCUAAAGCUAAAUAUUGGCCAGAGACCGAUAGCGCACAAGUAGAGUGAUCGAAAGAUGAAAAAAACUUUGGAAAGAGAGUUAAACAGCAUGUGAAAUUGUUGAAAGGGAAGCGCUUGCAGCCAGACUUGCCUGUAGUUGCUCAUCCGGGCUCUUGCCCGGUGCACUCUUCUGUAGGCAGGCCAGCAUCAGUUUGGGCGGUUGGAUAAAGGUCUCUGUCAUGUACCUCUCUUCGGGGAGGCCUUAUAGGGGAGGCGACAUACAACCAGCCUAGACUGAGGUCCGCGCAUUCGUGCUAGGAUGCUGGCGUAAUGGCUGUAAGCGGCCCGUCUUGAAACACGGACCAAGGAGUCUAACAUCUAUGCGAGUGUUUGGGUGUCAAGCCCGAGCGCGUAAUGAAAGUGAACGGAGGUGGGAACCCCUCGGGGUGCACCAUCGACCGAUCCUGAUGUCUUCGGAAGGAUUUUGAGUAAGAGCAUGUGCUGUUGGGACCCGAAAGAUGGUGAACUAUGCUUGAAUAGGGUGAAGCCAGAGGAAACUCUGGUGGAGGCUCGCAGCGGUUCUGACGUGCAAAUCGAUCGUCAAAUUUGGGCAUAGGGGCGAAAGACUAAU